Molecule: long non-coding RNA, 147 nt
Organism: Ipomoea nil (Japanese morning glory)
Lineage: Eukaryota; Viridiplantae; Streptophyta; Magnoliopsida; Solanales; Convolvulaceae
Exons: 3
Source: RefSeq, a predicted model, not a curated record
GCCACGGGAGAUGUGGCUGUGGAUCAGUACCAUCAUUACAAAAUAUUGAUCUGCUGGUGAAGCUGAACUUUGAUGCCUACCGUUUCUCAAUCUCAUGGACCAGGAUAUUCCGAAAUGGAACUGGCAAGGUAAAUUGGAAAGGAGUUG